This 297-nucleotide ribosomal RNA is filed under the name Triticum aestivum (bread wheat). RNAcentral describes it as "partial small subunit ribosomal RNA". The record is from RNAcentral. Lineage: Eukaryota; Viridiplantae; Streptophyta; Magnoliopsida; Poales; Poaceae.
GAUCCAUGUGUCUACAUACAUAGAUUCUGUUCAUGGAUUAACGAAAAUGUGCAAGAGCUCUAUUUGUCUCUACCAUUCUAUGAGUCGCUUCCUUUUUGCGUAUGGCACCCCCACUCCCUUUGGCAGCAUCUACUAAUUCGGAAAUUAACCCCUCUAAUAUAUACAAGAAAAAAAGAUUUGUUUGGUAUACUGUGUGCUAAGUAUUCUUUUCCUAUCAAUGAACUUUUCAUAAUUUUCAUAAUCGAAUCCUCAUAUUUUAUUAUGAAAAUUAUGAAAAGUGGAGUAUUCUUACAAUAG